RNAcentral lists this ribosomal RNA (292 nucleotides) under uncultured bacterium. RNAcentral's name for it is "partial 16S ribosomal RNA". It matches the Rfam family "Bacterial small subunit ribosomal RNA", at positions 505 to 796 of the family's 1533-position model. The record is from RNAcentral.
GUGCCAGCAGCCGCGGUAAUACGUAGGGCCCGAGCGUUAUUCGGUAUUAUUGGGCGUAAAGAGUACGUAGGCGGUACGAUAAGACAAUGGUUAAAUCUCCGGGCUCAACCCGGAAAUCGCCGUUGUGACUGUUGUACUAGUCGGUAGCAGGGGCAAGCGGAAUUCUCGGUGUAGGAGUGAAAUCCGUUGAGAUCGAGAAGAACACCAAUGGCGAAGGCAGCUUGCUAGGCUAUUUGAGACGCUGAGGUACGAAAGCGUGGGGAGCGAACGGGAUUAGAUACCCCAGUAGUCC